GANGAACGCUGGCGGCGUGCUUAACACAUGCAAGUCGAACGGACCCUUCGGGGUUAGUGGCGGACGGGUGAGUAAAGCGUAAGAACCUGCCCAUAGGACGGGGACAACAGUUGGAAACGACUGCUAAUACCCGAUGUGCCGAGAGGUGAAACAUUUAUGGCCUGUGGAGGGGCUUGCGUCAGAUUAGCUAGUUGGUAGAGUAAGAGCCUACCAAGGCGACGAUCUGUAGCUGUUCUGAGAGGAUGAUCAGCCACACUGGGACUGAGACACGGCCCAGACUCCUACGGGAGGCAGCAGUGGGGAAUUUUCCGCAAUGGGGGCAACCCUGACGGAGCAACGCCGCGUGUGGGAGGAAGGUUUUAGGACUGUAAACCACUUUCCUCAGGGAAGAAUUCUGACGGUACCUGAGGAAUAAGCAUCGGCUAAUUCCGUGCCAGCAGCCGCGGUAAU
Molecule: ribosomal RNA, 450 nt
Filed under: uncultured bacterium
Lineage: Bacteria
Description: bacterial SSU rRNA
Rfam family: Bacterial small subunit ribosomal RNA
Source: RNAcentral